GACGAACGCUGGCGGCGUGCUUAACACAUGCAAGUCGAACGGAAAGGCCUGCAGCUUGCUGCGGGUACUCGAGUGGCGAACGGGUGAGUAACACGUGGGUGAUCUGCCUUGCACUUCGGGAUAAGCUUGGGAAACUGGGUCUAAUACCGGAUAGGACAGCUGUUUAGUGUCAGUUGUGGAAAGUUUUUUCGGUGCAAGAUGGGCUCGCGGCCUAUCAGCUUGUUGGUGGGGUAAUGGCCUACCAAGGCGUCGACGGGUAGCCGGCCUGAGAGGGGGGACGGCCACAUUGGGACUGAGAUACGGCCCAGACUCCUACGGGAGGCAGCAGUGGGGAAUAUUGCACAAUGGGCGGAAGCCUGAUGCAGCGACGCCGCGUGGGGGAUGAAGGCCUUCGGGUUGUAAACUCCUUUCGACAGGGACGAAGCUUUUGUGACGGUACCUGUAUAAGAAGCACCGGCUAACUACGUG
RNAcentral lists this ribosomal RNA (468 nucleotides) under uncultured bacterium. RNAcentral's name for it is "partial 16S ribosomal RNA". It matches the Rfam family "Bacterial small subunit ribosomal RNA", at positions 28 to 507 of the family's 1533-position model. The record is from RNAcentral.